GGUUCGAUUAUGGCUCAGAUUGAACGCUGGCGGGAUGCUACACAUGCAAGUCGAACGGCAGCACGGACUUCGGUCUGGUGGCGAGUGGCGAACAGGUGAGUAAUGUAUCGGAACGUGCCUAGUAGCGGGGGAUAACUACGCGAAAGCGUAGCUAAUACCGCAUGCGCCCUUCGGGGAAAGCGGGGGGACCUUCGGGCCUCGCACUAUUAGAGCGGCCGAUAUCGGAUUAGCUAGUUGGUGGGGUAACGGCUCACCAAGGCGACGAUCCGUAGCUGGUUUGAAGGACGACCAGCCACACUGGGACUUUGAGACACGGCCCAGACUCCUACGAGAGGCAGCAGUGGGGAAUUUUGGACAAUGGAAACCCUGAUCCAGCCAUCCCGCGUGUGCGAUGAGGCCUUCGGGUUGUAAAGCACUUUUGGCAGGAAAGAAACGGCACAGGAUAAUACCCCGUGCAACUGGCAACCUGCAGAAUAAGCACCGGCUAACUACGUGCCAGCAGCCGCGGUAAUACGUAGAGAUUUACAGAGGGGAAGCGUUAAUCGGAAUUACUGGGCGUAAAGCGUGCGCAGGCGGUUCCGGAAGAAAGAUGUGAAAUCCCAGAGCUUAACUUUGGAACUGCAUUUUAACUACCGAGCUAGAGUGUGUCAGAGAGGUGGAAUUCCGCGUGUAGCAGUGAAAUGCGUAGAUAUGCGAAGGAGGAACACCGAUGGCGAAGCAACCUCUCCUCAGGAUAACACCGACGCUCAUGCACAGCGUGGGGAGCAAACAGAGUUAAAUGCCCUGGUGAUCCACGCCCUAAACGAUGUCAACUAGCUGUUGGGGCCUUCGGGCUUGCUUGGUAGCGCAGCUAACGCGUGAAGUUGACCGCCUGGGAAAUACGGUCCGCGAGAGAUUCCAAGAAACUCAAAGGAAUUGACGGGGACCCGCACAAGCGGUGGAUGAUGUGGAUUAAUUCCGUGCAACGCGAAAACCUUACCUACCCUUGACAUGUCUGGAAUCCCGAAGAGAUUUGGGAGUGCUCGCAAGAGAACCGGAACACAGGUGCUGCAUGGCUGUCGUCAGCUCGUGUCGUGAGAUGUUGGGUUGGGAAGAAACCGCAACGAGCGCAACCCUUGUCAUUAGUUGCUACGAAGGAGCACUCUAAUGGCGAGACUGCCAGUGACAAACCGGAGAAGAGUGGGGACGAUGACGUCAAGUCCUCAUGGCCCUUAUGGGUAGGGCUUCACACAUCAUACAAUGGUCGGGACAGAGGGUCGCCAACCCGCGAGGGAGCGUGUCCCAGAAACCCGAUCGUAGUCCGGAUCAGUCUCUGACUCGACUGCGUGAAGUCGGAAUCGCUAGUAAUCGCGGAUCAGCAUGUCGCGGUGAAUACGUUCCCGGGUCUUGCUACACACUUCGCUCACACCAUGGGGUGGUUAACCGUAAGGAGGGCGAUUACCACGGUAGGAUUCAUGGCUGGGGGUGAAGUCGUAACAAAGGAGUAA
RNAcentral lists this ribosomal RNA (1487 nucleotides) under uncultured Bordetella sp. RNAcentral describes it as "partial 16S-23S ribosomal RNA intergenic spacer". It matches the Rfam family "Bacterial small subunit ribosomal RNA". The record is from RNAcentral. Lineage: Bacteria; Pseudomonadati; Pseudomonadota; Betaproteobacteria; Burkholderiales; Alcaligenaceae.